ACGGGUGAGUAAUAUAUCGGAACGUGCCCAAUCGUGGGGGAUAACGUAUAGAAAUUUACGCUAAUACCGCAGACGAUCUAAGGAUGAAAGCGGGGGAUCGCAAGACCUCGCGCGAUUGGAGCGGCUGAUAUCAGAUUAGGUUGUUGGUGAGGUAAAAGCUCACCAAGCCGACGAUCUGUAGCUGGUUUGAGAGAACGACCAGCCACACUGGGACUGAAACACGGCCCAGACUCCUACGGGAGGCACCAGUGGGGAAUUUUGGACAAUGGGCGAAAGCCUGAUCCAGCAAUGCCGCGUGCAGGAAGAAGGCCUUCGGGUUGUAAACUGCUUUUGUACGGAACGAAACGGCUCUUUCUAAUAAAGAGGGCUAAUGACGGUACCGUAAGAAUAAGCACCGGCUAACUACGUGCCAGCAGCCGCGGUAAUACGUAGGGUGCGAGCGUUAAUCGGAAUUACUGGGCGUAAAGCGUGCGCAGGCGGUUAUAUAAGACAGUUGUGAAAUCCCCGGGCUCAACCUGGGAAUUGCAUCUGUGACUGUAUAGCUAGAGUACGGUAGAGGGGGAUGGAAUUCCGCGUGUAGCAGUGAAAUGC
RNAcentral lists this ribosomal RNA (591 nucleotides) under Polaromonas sp. StRD747. Its description in RNAcentral is "bacterial SSU rRNA". It matches the Rfam family "Bacterial small subunit ribosomal RNA", at positions 102 to 689 of the family's 1533-position model. The record is from RNAcentral. Lineage: Bacteria; Pseudomonadati; Pseudomonadota; Betaproteobacteria; Burkholderiales; Comamonadaceae.